Molecule: ribosomal RNA, 492 nt
Filed under: uncultured bacterium
Lineage: Bacteria
Description: bacterial SSU rRNA
Rfam family: Bacterial small subunit ribosomal RNA
Source: RNAcentral
CAGGCCUAACACAUGCAAGUCGAACGGUAACAGGAAGCAGCUUGCUGCUUCGCUGACGAGUGGCGGACGGGUGAGUAAUGUCUGGGAAACUGCCCGAUGGAGGGGGAUAACUACUGGAAACGGUAGCUAAUACCGCAUAAUGUCGCAAGACCAAAGAGGGGGACCUUCGGGCCUCUUGCCAUCGGAUGUGCCCAGAUGGGAUUAGCUUGUUGGUGAGGUAACGGCUCACCAAGGCGACGAUCCCUAGCUGGUCUGAGAGGAUGACCAGCCACACUGGAACUGAGACACGGUCCAGACUCCUACGGGAGGCAGCAGUGGGGAAUAUUGCACAAUGGGCGCAAGCCUGAUGCAGCCAUGCCGCGUGUAUGAAGAAGGCCUUCGGGUUGUAAAGUACUUUCAGCGGGGAGGAAGGUGUUGUGGUUAAUAACCGCAACAAUUGACGUUACCCGCAGAAGAAGCACCGGCUAACUCCGUGCCAGCAGCCGCGGUAAU